UAAUAAUUGUAUAUUUUCACAAAAUCGGACCAUGCGCAUGUAUUAUCGCCAUCGGAUCUCAAAAAAAAUAACACUAUCAUGUAGGUACUAUUAAUGUAACUUAAAGUUUAUUUAAUAUUUUAUAUUUUUAAAAUAAUUUUUUUUCUCGUAAUGUAUACAAAUAAUUGAUGGUUAGAAAAUUGAAGCAAGGGCCGCAUUAAAAUCUACCGUGAGCCUUGGGUUGGACACCCCCAGUCUAUAAUUACAAUUUUUGAAUAUUAUUUAUUAUCAUUAACUCAGUUACAUCUUUGAUUCAACCUGGCUGUUGUAUACAUUAUAAUAAGAAAAACUAUAUGAAUUUAAUCAUUUAUUUAGUAUAUGGUCAAAUUUUAGAAUCAAUACAUGAGCCCUAAAAAGGCUUAAUAUAUUAAUAUAUUAUAAUCAGGGUUCAGAAAUUAUAGAAUUUAAGUAACAAAAAAACUUUUCAGUAAAUUUUAUUAUAAGCAUUUAAAAAGAUUAAUAACCCCUUCAAAUGCUAAAAUAAACAAAUUUUUUUUCUCAAUUAACCGACAACAGUAGAUAUCAGUUUUUUACAUUGCUAUCUCACUGCUGACAAAAGUAAAUACUUAAACAUAUUUAAUUAGCAAAAAAAAUACUAUCCAAAAGAGAAAAAAAAAAUUUUAAUUUUACCACUUGAAUAUGUUGCAUGACUUACAUUUUAAUAGCACUGUACAAGUUAUAUUACCAAGCCAAAAAACAAAUAAAGGUCCAAUUUCCAACCCCGGAUUAUAAUUUAUGUAUUAUAUUAUGACCUAUCUUAAAACAAAGUUAAAUAUUGAGAUAAAAACCAAAACAAACUAUUAAUUCUCUAAAAUUGUCAUAUACUCAUA
Cinara cedri is the source of this 869-nucleotide non-coding RNA. The record is from the annotation of a GenBank genome assembly. NCBI's taxonomy places the organism in Eukaryota, Metazoa, Arthropoda, Insecta, Hemiptera, Aphididae.